GCUUACCAUGCAAGUCGAGCGGAAGGCCCUUCGGGGUACUCGAGCGGCGAACGGGUGAGUAACACGUGGGCAACCUGCCCCUAGCUCUGGGAUAACUCCGGGAAACCGGGGCUAAUACCGGAUAUGACCACAGUCGGCAUCGGUUGUGGUGGAAAGUUUUUCGGCUAGGGAUGGGCUCGCGGCCUAUCAGCUUGUUGGUGGGGUAAUGGCCUACCAAGGCGACGACGGGUAGCCGGCCUGAGAGGGCGACCGGCCACACUGGGACUGAGACACGGCCCAAACUCCUACGGGAGGCAGCAGUGGGGAAUAUUGCGCAAUGGGCGAAAGCCUGACGCAGCGACGCCGCGUGAGGGAUGAAGGCCUUCGGGUUGUAAACCUCUUUCAGCAGGGACGAAUUCAGACGGUACCUGCAAAAGAAGCACCGGCCAACUACGUGCCAGCAGCCGCGGUAAUACGUAGGGUGCAAGCGUUGUCCGGAAUUAUUGGGCGUAAAGAGCUCGUAGGCGGUUUGUCGCGUCGGCUGUGAAACCUCGGGGCUCAACCCCGAGCCUGCGGUCGAUACGGGCAGACUAGAGUGCGGUAGGGGAGACUGGAAUUCCUGGUGUAGCGGUGAAAUGCGCAGAUAUCAGGAGGAACACCGGUGGCGAAGGCGGGUCUCUGGGCCGUAACUGACGCUGAGGAGCGAAAGCGUGGGGAGCAAACAGGAUUAGA
RNAcentral lists this ribosomal RNA (711 nucleotides) under uncultured bacterium. Its description in RNAcentral is "bacterial SSU rRNA". It matches the Rfam family "Bacterial small subunit ribosomal RNA", at positions 46 to 782 of the family's 1533-position model. The record is from RNAcentral.